AGAACGAACGCUGGCGGCAUGCCUAACACAUGCAAGUCGAACGAGACCUUCGGGUCUAGUGGCGCACGGGUGCGUAACGCGUGGGAAUCUGCCCUUGGGUUCGGAAUAACAGCGAGAAAUUGCUGCUAAUACCGGAUGAUGACGUAAGUCCAAAGAUUUAUCGCCCAAGGAUGAGCCCGCGUAGGAUUAGCUAGUUGGUGAGGUAAAGGCUCACCAAGGCGACGAUCUGUAGCUGGUUUGAGUAGGACGACCAGCCACACUGGGACUGAGACACGGCCCAGACGUCCUACGGGAGGCAGCGAGUGGGAAUUUGGACAAGUGGGGAAACCCUGAUCCAGCCAUCCGCGUGUCGCGAUGAACGGCCUUCGGGUGUAAAGCGUACGUUUGGACUAGGGAAGAAACGGU
RNAcentral lists this ribosomal RNA (405 nucleotides) under uncultured soil bacterium. Its description in RNAcentral is "bacterial SSU rRNA". It matches the Rfam family "Bacterial small subunit ribosomal RNA", at positions 26 to 454 of the family's 1533-position model. The record is from RNAcentral.